This 385-nucleotide ribosomal RNA is filed under the name Euseius tularensis. RNAcentral's name for it is "12S ribosomal RNA". Lineage: Eukaryota; Metazoa; Arthropoda; Arachnida; Mesostigmata; Phytoseiidae. The record is from RNAcentral.
UAUUAGAGUUAAUAAAAAUUUAGUAGUAAGUGAUUCACAUGAAACUAAAAUUAAUUGGCGGCUUUAUAAAUUUAUUAGAGGAAUUUAUUCUUUAAAGGAUUAAACACCAAAAUCUUACUUUUAUUUGUUAAAUUUAAUUUUUAGAACAGUUUGUAUAUCUCUAUUUAGAAAUAUUAAAUAUAUUUUGUAUUCUAUGAAGAAAAAUUUUAGGUAAAGGUGCAGCUUAUGUAAAAGAUUGAAAUAAAUUAUAUAAAUUAUUAUUUAGCUAUAUUAUAUUGUAUUAAGUAUAAACAGGGUAAAAUUUAAAAGUAAAAAUAUAGUAAAUAGAGCUAUUUUGAAUUACUAUUUAUUUGUGUACAUAUUGCCCGUCACUCUCUUAUUAGAG